GGCUSAAAUUUUUUUUGAUAAAUUGCUCCGUGCGGUAAAGCGAAUGAUUAGCGUAUUUGGGGGCGGACAGCCUUCAGUCGAUUCUCAAACUUUAAAUGCGCGUGGAUGCUAGCUGCUUAAUUUAUUUUGAGCAGUGUCGUCGAGAAUAUUUAGCCUUGUGGGCCACUUUUGGUAAGCAGAACUGGCGAUACGGGAUGAACCGUAAGUAUGGUUAAGGUGCCAAAUUCUCCGCUUAGAGACCCCAAAAAAGGUGUUGAUUCAUCGAGACAGCAGGACGGUGGCCAUGGAAGUCGGAAUCCGCUAAGGAGUGUGUAACAACUCACCUGCCGAAUGAAUUAGCCCUGAAAAUGGAUGGCGCUGAAGCGGGGAACCGACACCAUACCGUUUGGACAAAAGUGGCGAUCCAGAUGAGUAGGAAAACGUGGCGGUCGUAUCGAAGCGUAUGUGCGAACGUGCGUGGAACGGCCGCUAGUGCAGAUCUUGGUGUUAGUAGCAAAUAUUCAAAUGAGAACCUUGAAGGGCGAAGCGGGGAAGGGUUCCACGCGAACAUUGAUUGAGCGUGGGUGAGUCGUUCCUAAAUCGAGUGGCAAUUGCUAAUUACCGGUGAAAGGGAAGCAGGUUGAGAUUCCUGCACACGGAUAUGGAUGCGGUGACGCCCGUCUGGCACAGUGACGCCGCGGUAGCGCUGGGCCAGAGUUUUCUUUUUCUGUUUAACUGAACCAGCAAUACUCUUGUGGAAUCCGAUUGUCGGGAGAAACAGGUAUGUGUGGGCAAAGCGUCGGGGCUUUUCCGGCGUCCAGCUUGCUAUCGACGGCCCUUGAAAAACUGUGUGCUGGCAUUAGACUACUGAAUAAGUAGUUCUUUUGUGUGAAAAAUUCCAUGCCGUGACGUACCGAUAACCGCAUCAGGUCCCCAAGGUGAACAGCCUCUGCUCAAUAUGGUAAAUGCAGGUAAGGGAAGUCGGCAAAUUAGACCCGUAACUUUGGGAAAAGGGUUGGCUCUAGUGCUACGUGAGAAUGGGAG
This 1023-nucleotide ribosomal RNA is filed under the name Spermothamnion repens. Its description in RNAcentral is "LSU rRNA". It matches the Rfam family "Eukaryotic large subunit ribosomal RNA", at positions 984 to 1977 of the family's 3401-position model. Lineage: Eukaryota; Rhodophyta; Florideophyceae; Ceramiales; Ceramiaceae. The record is from RNAcentral.